CGCCGCGACCCACCUGCCCUGGCUUGACCGCGGAGGCGGGUGGCGAAGAAGAGAAGGACGGCGAGCAGCACGGCAGCGGCGGCGAGCAGAACCGCGUCCAUCCCGCAGCGCCGGCCCCGCCCACAUCACCCUUGGUCUCUGCUCCUGACACGCUGCUGGCCAGGCAGCUCCAGCUUCAUCCCAUUCCCAUAUUCCAGUGUCCUGACCUGGCCUGAGCCAAAUGUGCACAAAAAUACGGAGAAACUUGCACUGGAGAUGGAGAAGAAAUUUCCCCCCCUUUGCACGGUCACCACUGUUAGAUCUGAAACUUUUUCAGGCUCUGCCCCAAUCCUGAGUGAGGAGAGAAAUGUUUUAAGCUUUACCCAUUUUUACUUUGUGGUUGUGAAGUUCUGGCUGAUCAAGCCCUUUCGUGCUUCAGAAAUGCUUUCAGCGUGACUGUUUAAAGCACUCUUGGUGGGGGAAAGUGUUUUAAUAAAUUGAAAAUGCAAA
Passer domesticus (house sparrow) is the source of this 489-nucleotide long non-coding RNA. RefSeq lists it as uncharacterized. The transcript is spliced from 2 exons. Lineage: Eukaryota; Metazoa; Chordata; Aves; Passeriformes; Passeridae. The record is from RefSeq and is a predicted model, not a curated record.